GGUUUUCUCUUCAGCAUUUAUUAGAAGUAAACCGGACCGCUUUUAUGACCGGUUUUCAGAACCAUGGUUUUGAGUUACUUUUCAUCAAAGAAGAAGCAGCUGGAUCUGGAUAUGAAGGAAAUGAAAAAUCUUAGUUGAAAGAAGCUCUGCUGCUAAUUGCUUCUAAUCAUAUCAUUUGGUUUCUGACUAAAUUCUACUUCUAAGCCAAGUAUUCCAGGUGAUAGUACAAAAACCAAUCAACCACCUAUUACGUUCAUCCUUCCUAGCAGGAGUCCCUGUCCAACUCUUGAAGUGUUGCUUAAUUGUUCCUGCAACAGGCCAUAGUUUCUUAUAGCCAUUUUGACUAUUAAUCCUUACUUACAUACUAGUUCCCUUGUAAACUAAUACUGUUAUUUACUUGUAACUGUAGGGUUUUAUUUAAACCAAAGAAAAUAUGGCUGCUGCUAUGGUGGGAGGGGCAUUACUCUCUGCUUCUGUUCAGGUGUUGUUGGAUAAGAUCAUUUCCAAUGAGUUAUUGAACUUCUUUAGGAGAAGGAAGCUUAAUGUUUCACUUCUUGGAAAGAUGAAGAUGACAUUGCUGAGUGUUCAAGCUGUUCUAAAUGAUUAUUUGAAAGACUAGAGCACUUUGCACAGCAAAUACACAUCCUUCAACUGAAAGAAGGUGUUUCCAACAGUGUUUGGCAAGGGAUGCCUACAAGUUCUGUGGUCGACAAAGCUGUCAUUUAUGGAAGAGAUGAUGAGAGAAAGAAGCUUAGAGAGUAUGUGGUGUCAGAAGAUGUUGGUGCUAGUAGCAAUAAAAUAGGAGUGAUUGCAAUUGUUGGCAUGGGAGGGAUUGGGAAAACAACCCUUGCUAAACUCCUAUACAAUGAUGAUGAAGUUAAAGACAAGUUUGAUUUAAAAGCAUGGGCAUGUGUUUCAUAGAAGUUUGAUGUUUUCAGGGUCACUAAGACUGUGCUUGAAUCGGUUACCUCAAAAACAACAAAUACUGAUAACUUGAAUACUCUGCUAUGCAAACCUUUCCUAUCUUUCAUUUGACAUCUCUUGUUAGUGAAGAUUUCUGGUCUUUACUUGCUGAACACGCAUUUGGAGCACAUAAUUCCAGUGAAAGGUCCAACCUAGAAGGACUUGGAAGAGAAAUUGUGAAAAAAUGUGAUGGUUUUCCUUCCCUUACCAUUGAAUGGAUGGUCAUUUGACUAUUACCUAUCAAACAAGGUAAUAUAUGGCUUGUUGCCCAAGUUAAAACAGUUGCGGGUGUUAUCUUUGUCACACUACAAGAAUAUCUCUGAGUUACAAGACUCCAUUGGAGCUUUAAAACAUUUGCGGCAUUUAGAUCUUUCUGGCACUAACAUUAAAAGGUUGCCUUCUGUGGUUUGCAAGCUCUACAAUCUACAGAGCUUGCUGUUGUCUGAUUGUAAGUUUCUCACUGAAUCACCUGAGGAGAUAGGAAUGUUGGUGAAUCUUCGCCACCUCGACAUUAGUGGAACUCAAUUGCUGGACUAGAAAAUCUCCAAACUUUAUCUGGGUUUGUUGUUAGCAGACAGCAAAAUGGAUUAAGGUGGGAGAAUUGCAAAAAUUUCCCAAUUUGCAGGGGAAGCUCUGCAUUUCAAAGCUACAAAACAUUGUUGACCUGUGAUGCUUCACAAGCCAAUAUGAAGAAGAAAGAACAAAUUGGAGAUCUAUCAUUAGAAUGGGAUAGCUGCACUGCUCAAGAGUCCCAACAUCUUGUAUUGGAGCACCUGCAGCCUUCAACAAACUUGAACAAACUAACCAUCUAAUUCUAUGGUGGAACCUGGUUUCCCAACUGGUUAGGUAAUUCCUCAUUUGCACUACCACCUGUUGGACAGCUUCAUAAUCUUAAAGAACUCAUCAUAUUUGAUAUUAUCUCAAUGAAGACUGUUGGUCCUGAAUUUUAUGGAUCUUGUUCUCCUUCAUUUCAAUCAUUUUUCCCUUAGGCUCUCUCCCUGUGCUCAAGUGGCUCUACUUUAUAGAAUGUAAGAAUCUGAAAUUCAUUUUUAAUUUCAGAAGAUGCACCCCAGUAUCUCACAUUUCUUCAAGGUUUCUACAUUAUAGAAUGUCCUGAACUUGAAUCAUUUCCUCAACUUGGAUUGCCAACUCCUAAGCUCAGACGUUUUUGGGUGUCAUAUUGCAACAAGCUUAAUUCACUACCAGAACCGGUUAAUGCUCUUGUUGGCCUUCAAGAAUUGACAGUUCUUAACCUCCCAAGUAUGCAGUUUUUUGCAAAUGAAGGUUGUAGCAAACUAUUUGUGAACCAUGCUUGUGAAGUUGUGGGAAACUUGCUGUAACUUGAAGCAGAGGAUAAUAUUCUCUAUCGGAUUUUGGUGUGCACAUAGUAUCUUUGUUUUAAGAGAAGCUCACAGCAUAUGGUGCAACCUCAUGCAGCCAAGUUCAGCUCAUGCAUGCAUGGUUGGCGUGAUUAAUUAAGUAGAUGAUAGUUGUAGAGUUAGUUAUUGUUACUUGCCACGUAGGAUCAGUUAGUUAGAGGCUAAGUUAGUUGUAGUUUGCUGCUAUAUAAGCCACGUGUAUCAGCUAGUUUCAUUUGAGAUCUUUCACUUUAGAUUGAGUUUAUUCAUCAAUUCCAUUUAAUUUCUUCUCUCAAUUCUCUCCAAUUUAGUGUGCU
This is a non-coding RNA of Arachis ipaensis, 2638 nucleotides long. The record is from RefSeq and is a predicted model, not a curated record. Lineage: Eukaryota; Viridiplantae; Streptophyta; Magnoliopsida; Fabales; Fabaceae.